UUUUUAAAUUGCUGUGGUAUUUUGACUAUACAAAGGUAUUGUAAUAAGAUUUUAAUUGAAUGCUAAAAGAAUGGAAAUUUAAAAAAAAACUUUUUUAAAAAUAAAAAUUGAAUUUUUUUUAAUUUGUGCAAAAACAAUUAUAUUUAUUAAAGACCAGAAGACCCUAAGAAUUUAAGAUUUUACAAUUAAAAAGUUUUUUUUUUAAAAUCUUGAUUGGGGCGAUCAAAAAAUAUUAAUAACUUUUUAAAAUUUAAAUUGAUCUAUUAUUAAUAAACUAAUGAAUUAAAUACUCUAGGGAUAACAGCGUAAUAAUUUUUGAUAGAUCUUAUUGACAAAAUAGUUUGCGACCUCGAUGUUGGAUUAGGAUUCUUUUUUAAUGAAGAAGUUAAAAAAAGAAGUU
RNAcentral lists this ribosomal RNA (400 nucleotides) under Hyalomma marginatum. Its description in RNAcentral is "partial large subunit ribosomal RNA". The record is from RNAcentral. Lineage: Eukaryota; Metazoa; Arthropoda; Arachnida; Ixodida; Ixodidae.